AGUGAACGCUGGCGGUAGGCCUAACACAUGCAAGUCGAACGGCAGCACAGUAAGAGCUUGCUCUUACGGGUGGCGAGUGGCGGACGGGUGAGGAAUACAUCGGAAUCUACUUUUUCGUGGGGGAUAACGUAGGGAAACUUACGCUAAUACCGCAUACGUCCUACGGGUGAAAGCAGGGGAUCUUCGGACCUUUCGCGAUUGUAUUAGCCGAUGUCGGAUUAGCUAGUUGGCGGGGUAAAGGCCCACCAAGGCGACGAUCCGUAGCUGGUCUGAGAGGAUGAUCAGCCACACUGGAACUGAGACACGGUCCAGACUCCUACGGGAGGCAGCAGUGGGGAAUAUUGGACAAUGGGCGCAAGCCUGAUCCAGCCAUACCGCGUGGGUGAAGAAGGCCUUCGGGUUGUAAAGCCCUUUUGUUGGGAAAGAAAAGCAGCAGGUUAAUACCCCGCUGUUCUGACGGUACCCAAAGAAUAAGCACCGGCUAACUUCGUG
This 492-nucleotide ribosomal RNA is filed under the name uncultured bacterium. RNAcentral's name for it is "partial 16S ribosomal RNA". It matches the Rfam family "Bacterial small subunit ribosomal RNA", at positions 29 to 507 of the family's 1533-position model. The record is from RNAcentral.